RNAcentral lists this microRNA (23 nucleotides) under Tetranychus urticae (two-spotted spider mite). RNAcentral describes it as "tur-miR-184-5p". Its record names the gene tur-miR-184-5p. Lineage: Eukaryota; Metazoa; Arthropoda; Arachnida; Trombidiformes; Tetranychidae. The record is from miRBase by way of RNAcentral.
CCUUAUCAUUUCCGCUGUCCAGA